UGGCGGCGUGGCUUAGGCAUGCAAGUCGAGCGAGAACCCGCAAGGGGGACAGCGGCAAACGGGGUAGUAAUGUGUCGGAACGUGCCCUCUGGACGGGGAUAGCGGCGGGAAACUGCCGGUAAUACCCGAUGAACUCGAGAGAGCAAAGGUGUGAUUCCGCCGGAGGAGCGGCCGACAUGGUAUUAGCUAGUUGGCGGGGUAACGGCCCACCAAGGCUGUGAUGCCUAGGGGAUGUGAGAGCAUGAUCCCCACCAUUGGGACUGAGACACUGCCCAGACACCUACGGGUGGCUGCAGUCGAGAAUCUUCGUCAAUGGGCGAAAGCCUGAACGAGCGACGCCGCGUGUGGGAUGAAGGCCUUUGGGUUGUAAACCAC
This 375-nucleotide ribosomal RNA is filed under the name uncultured bacterium. RNAcentral describes it as "bacterial SSU rRNA". It matches the Rfam family "Bacterial small subunit ribosomal RNA", at positions 37 to 433 of the family's 1533-position model. The record is from RNAcentral.